This 250-nucleotide ribosomal RNA is filed under the name uncultured prokaryote. RNAcentral describes it as "partial 16S rRNA". It matches the Rfam family "Bacterial small subunit ribosomal RNA", at positions 525 to 775 of the family's 1533-position model. The record is from RNAcentral.
ACGUAGGUGGCGAGCGUUGUCCGGAAUUAUUGGGCGUAAAGCGCGCGCAGGCGGUUAUGUAAGUCUCAUUUAAAAGUGCUGAGCUUAACUCAGUGAUGGGUGAGAAACUGCAUGACUUGAGUGCAGAAGGAGUAGGCGGAAUUCCUAGUGUAGCGGUGAAAUGCGUAGAUAUUAGGAGGAACACCAGUGGCGAAGGCGGCCUACUGGACUGCAACUGACGCUGAGGCGCGAAAGCUAGGGGAGCAAACGG